This 449-nucleotide ribosomal RNA is filed under the name uncultured bacterium. RNAcentral's name for it is "bacterial SSU rRNA". It matches the Rfam family "Bacterial small subunit ribosomal RNA", at positions 330 to 795 of the family's 1533-position model. The record is from RNAcentral.
CCCAGACUCCUACGGGAGGCAGCAGUGGGGAAUAUUGCGCAAUGGGGGCAACCCUGACGCAGCAACGCCGCGUGCAGGAAGAAGGUCUUCGGAUUGUAAACUGUUGUCGCAGGGGAAGAAGACAGUGACGGUACCCUGUGAGAAAGUCACGGCUAACUACGUGCCAGCAGCCGCGGUAAUACGGAGGAUGCGAGCGUUAUCCGGAUUUAUUGGGUUUAAAGGGUGCGUAGGCGGACGCUUAAGUCAGCGGUAAAAUUGCGGGGCUCAACCUCGGCGAGCCGUUGAAACUGGGUGCCUUGAGUGGGCGAGAAGUACGCGGAAUGCGUGGUGUAGCGGUGAAAUGCAUAGAUAUCACGCAGAACUCCGAUUGCGAAGGCAGCGUACCGGCGCCCAACUGACGCUGAAGCACGAAGGCGUGGGUAUCGAACAGGAUUAGAUACCCCUGUAUC